CCAUCCCCAUCCCCAUUCCCAUUCCCAUUCCCAUUCCCACCAUUCCCACCAUUUAUUCCCAUUAUUCCCACCAUCCCCAUUCCCAUUCCCAUUCCCAUUCCCACCAUUCCCACCAUUUAUUCCCAUUAUUCCCACUCCCAUUCCCGUUGUUCCCAUUAUUUCCCUUAUUCCCAUUAUUCCCGUUGUUAUUCCCGUUGUUGUUCCUGCCAUUAUUCCCACUGUUAUUCCCAUUUUUCCCGCUGUCAUUCCCAGUUAUUCCCGGUGUUAUUCCCGCUCCCAUUCCCAUUGUUAUUCCCAUUAUUCCCGUUGUUAUUCCUGUUGUUAUUCCUGCUGUUAUUCCCAUUAUUCCCGUUGUUAUUCCCGCUCCCAUUCCCAUUGUUAUUCCCGUUGUUAUUCCCACUCCCAUUCCCAUUGUUCCCACUGCUAUUCCUGGUUGUUCCCGCUGUUAUUCCUGCUGUCAUUCCUGGUUAUUCCCAUUGUUAUUCCCGCUCCCAUUCCCAUUAUUCCUAUUGUUACUCCCAUUGUUACUCCUGCGGUUAUUCCCACUUUUAUUCCCAGUUAUUCCCGUUGUUAUUCCCAUUGCUGUUAUUUUCAUUCCCGCUGUUAUUCCCGCUCCCAUUCCCAUUGUUAUUCCCGCUGUUAUUCCCCUUGUUAUUCCCAUUCCCGCUGCCGUUAUUCCCGGUUAUUCCCGUUAUUCCCGCUCCCAUUCCCAUUGUUAUUCCCGUUGUUAUUCCCAUUGUUGUCAUUUCUGCUGUUAUUCUCAUUCCCAUUGUUAUUCCCAUUGUUAUUCCCAUUGUUAUUCCCAUUGUUAUUCCCACUGUUAUUCCUGUUAUUCCCAUUGUUAUUCCCAUUAUUCCCAUCGCUGUUAUUCCCGUUCCCAUUCCCGUUGUUAUUCCCGUUGUUAUUCCCGUUAUUCCCAGUUAUUCCCGCUCCCAUUCCUGCUGCCUUUAUUCCCGCUGUUGUUAUUCCUGUUGUUGUUAUUCCCGUUGUUAGUCCCAUUGUUAGUCCCAUUGUUAUUCCCAUUGUUAUUCCCAUUGUUAUUCCCAUUCCCGCUGUUGCCGCUGUUCCUGCUGUUGUUAUUCCCGUUAUUCCCGCUGUUCCCGCUGUUAUUCCGGCUGUUCCCAUUGUUAUUCCCGCUGUUAUUCCCGCUGUUCCCGUUGUUAUUCCGGCUGUUCCUGCUGUUAUUCCCGCUGUUCCCGCUGUUAUUCCUGCUGUUCCUGGGGUUAUUCCCGCUGUUAUUCCCGCUGUUCCCGGGGUUAUUCCGGCUGUUAUUCCCGGGGUUAUUCCCGCUGUUAUUCCGGCUGUUCCCGGGGUUAUUCCGGCUGUUAUUCCGGCUGUUAUUCCCGCUGUUGUCUCUCACUUGGCCAGGGCCAUCCCGUGUUUGUCCAGCUCCAGGUUCAGCUCCGAGAGCAGAAUUCCGGCUUCCACCUUCACCUGCAGCUUCUCCUUGUCCACCUGCAACAGACGAUUCCCAAAAAACCCCCGAACGUU
This 1491-nucleotide long non-coding RNA is filed under the name Cyanistes caeruleus (blue tit). RNAcentral describes it as "lncRNA (ENSCCEG00000005295.1)". Lineage: Eukaryota; Metazoa; Chordata; Aves; Passeriformes; Paridae. The record is from RNAcentral.